RNAcentral lists this ribosomal RNA (404 nucleotides) under Amblyomma maculatum (Gulf Coast tick). RNAcentral's name for it is "partial 16S ribosomal RNA". The record is from RNAcentral. Lineage: Eukaryota; Metazoa; Arthropoda; Arachnida; Ixodida; Ixodidae.
AUUUUUGCAAUACAAGGUAUUGAAUAAGACUUUAAUUGAGUGCUAAGAGAAUGGAAUUUCAUAAAAUUUCUUUUUUAAUUUUAAAAAUUGAAAUUAAUUUUAUAUGUGAAGAAACAAUAAUAAAAAUUAAGGACAAGAAGACCCUAAGAAUUUUAAAAAUUUCAAUAAAAUGCUGUAUUUUAUUGAAAUUUUUUAAUUGGGGCGAUUAUUAAAUAUUAAAAACUUUAAUUUUUUUAAAAAAGAACCAAUAAUAUUGGUUAUUUGAAAAAAUACUCUAGGGAUAACAGCGUAAUAAUUUUUGAUAGUUCUUAUAGACAAAAUAGUUUGCGACCUCGAUGUUGGAUUAGGAUUCUUUUUUAAUGAAGAAGUUAAAAAAAGAAGUUUGUUCAACUUUUAAAAUCCUA